This 496-nucleotide ribosomal RNA is filed under the name uncultured bacterium. RNAcentral describes it as "partial 16S ribosomal RNA". It matches the Rfam family "Bacterial small subunit ribosomal RNA", at positions 28 to 506 of the family's 1533-position model. The record is from RNAcentral.
GACGAACGCUGGCGGCGUGCCUAAUACAUGCAAGUUGAGCGCUGAAGGUUGGUACUUGUACCAACUGGAUGAGCAGCGAACGGGUGAGUAACGCGUGGGGAAUCUGCCUUUGAGCGGGGGACAACAUUUGGAAACGAAUGCUAAUACCGCAUAAAAACUUUAAACACAAGUUUUAAGUUUGAAAGAUGCAAUUGCAUCGCUCAAAGAUGAUCCCGCGUUGUAUUAGCUAGUUGGUGAGGUAAAGGCUCACCAAGGCGAUGAUACAUAGCCGACCUGAGAGGGUGAUCGGCCACAUUGGGACUGAGACACGGCCCAAACUCCUACGGGAGGCAGCAGUAGGGAAUCUUCGGCAAUGGACGAAAGUCUGACCGAGCAACGCCGCGUGAGUGAAGAAGGUUUUCGGAUCGUAAAACUCUGUUGGUAGAGAAGAACGUUGGUGAGAGUGGAAAGCUCAUCAAGUGACGGUAACUACCCAGAAAGGGACGGCUAACUACGU